RNAcentral lists this transfer RNA (75 nucleotides) under Candidatus Bathyarchaeota archaeon ex4484_205. RNAcentral's name for it is "tRNA-Tyr". It matches the Rfam family "tRNA". From Rfam's summary of the family: Transfer RNA (tRNA) molecules are approximately 80 nucleotides in length. Their secondary structure includes four short double-helical elements and three loops (D, anti-codon, and T loops). Further hydrogen bonds mediate the characteristic L-shaped molecular structure. tRNAs have two regions of fundamental functional importance: the anti-codon, which is responsible for specific mRNA codon recognition, and the 3' end, to which the tRNAs corresponding amino acid is attached (by aminoacyl-tRNA synthetases). tRNAs cope with the degeneracy of the genetic code in two manners: having more than one tRNA (with a specific anti-codon) for a particular amino acid; and 'wobble' base-pairing, i.e. permitting non-standard base-pairing at the 3rd anti-codon position. The record is from RNAcentral. Lineage: Archaea; Thermoproteati; Candidatus Bathyarchaeota.
GGGCCCGUAGCCCAGUCUGGAUAGGGCGGCAGACAAUAAAGCUGUAGGUCGUGGGUUCGAAUCCCACCGGGCCCG